This is a non-coding RNA of Pristis pectinata (smalltooth sawfish), 82 nucleotides long. The record is from the annotation of a RefSeq genome assembly. Lineage: Eukaryota; Metazoa; Chordata; Chondrichthyes; Rhinopristiformes; Pristidae.
GCUGCGAUGGCCGAGUGGUUAAAGCGCUGGAUUCGAAAUCCAACGAGGUUUCCCCACGCAGGUUCGAACCCUGCUCGCAGCG